GUAGUCAUAUGCUUGUCUCAAAGAUUAAGCCAUGCAUGUCUAAGUAUAAGCAAUCUAUACAGUGAAACUGCGAAUGGCUCAUUAAAUCAGUUAUCGUUUAUUUGAUAGUACCUUACUACUUGGAUAACCGUGGUAAUUCUAGAGCUAAUACAUGCUAAAAACCCCGACCUCUGGAAGGGGUGUAUUUAUUAGAUAAAAAACCAAUGCCUUCGGGCUCCUUGGUGAUUCAUGAUAACUUUACGAAUCGCAUGGCCUUGCGCCGGCGAUGGUUCAUUCAAAUUUCUGCCCUAUCAACUUUCGAUGGUAGGAUAGUGGCCUACCAUGGUUUCAACGGGUAACGGGGA
Molecule: ribosomal RNA, 344 nt
Filed under: uncultured fungus
Lineage: Eukaryota; Fungi
Description: SSU rRNA
Rfam family: Eukaryotic small subunit ribosomal RNA
Source: RNAcentral